AACAAGAAAUUCUAACAGUAGAUGAGAUCAGAGUUAACGCUGUACCCUAUGCGGGCCGUCGCUGUCGGGUUCGUGAAGAAGGCGGUGACAGAGAGCAGGGCGAGAGGGCGGCAGGUGUCGCGGCUGGAGGAGUCCAUCAAGAGUUUGGAGGAGGAGAAGCGCAAGAUCGAAGUUUUCAAGCGCGAGCUCCCUCUCUGCAUGCGUCUCGUCUACGAGGUGAUGGGGGAGUUGAAGAGGGAGAUCGAUCGGUUCCGCGCCGAGGGUUUCGGGCGUGUGUUCCAGGAAUUCACGCCGAUUAAGGGCAAAAUCAACGAGAGCAGCUCGGAUUUCAGAGAUAAGAAGAACUGGACGAGCUCGUUCCAACUCUGGAUCUGUGAGGAAAGUAAAGAUACCAAAAACAUGACAAGAUGAACCUUAAAGAGAAAUCAGUAUGUUAUUCUCGGAACGGCGGACAUGUGUCCCUGCCAGUAUUGGAACUAUACAGCUCCAAGGCGGAAGAUGAGACUGCCGCUGUGUUGUCUGACCUCUCUCUGUGCUCUACCGUGAUCACUCAUGGCUUUGUGACUCCGGCCAUCAAUAACCAUCCAGUUAGUUGCCAUAAGUGUACUUAAGAAUCCCCGGAAGCAUCUCAGGUGGUGGCGCCUGGCAAACACUGUGGCUUGCAUUAGCAACAGGCUGCAGAUGUGGAGGUUCUGGUCUCAGGAUCUGCAUCAGCGGUUUGUGCUCGCGAUUGCUCCGUGUUGCUCAUGGUAAGACCUCAGUUGAAUCAAUUGCUAGGAGGCUGAUGGAUAAUUUCUGCAGGAUGAUGUUUAGUCCCACAUCUAAAAUUUUCACAAUCCUCUAUUAGUAUAAAAUAUAACUAUACGACUUAUAAAAUAUAACCCAUGGAAUGAAGUGAUAGGAUCUUCAGGUCCAGGAAAAUCCCCGGGUCAUCCACCGCAGUGAUGCGGCCGUGUAAUUAUGGUCCAUUAAAUCAGAUUGUAUUCCAUCCCUGGGAAGGCUGAGACAUGUGUGGAGCCUUUCGAUCAGAUUAUGGAUUCAUGAUCAUUCCCUAUAGUAAUUCACUUGGCCUUACAAAUAGGUUAACAGAACGGGGUUUAUAUUCCAUGGGUAUUUUUUAAAAAUAUAUUACUCAAUUUUUGGUGUGGAUGUCUUGAAAUUACAAUUAAUUUUUUUAAUGAUAAAUUAAUCAAAUGAAUAUAUCAUAAUUCAAAUACUAAUUGUGUGAUAACAAAUAAGUUUUUUUUUUACUCAAAGACGUAAUUAGCUAUAUACGAAGGAGAUGGGAAGUUCUUAUUAUUGCUGAGUAGAGUUGUUAGGUAGGUCAGGAUGGUCCAUUAAAAAUUCAUCAUCUUUGUAGG
Molecule: RNA transcript, 1361 nt
Organism: Zingiber officinale
Lineage: Eukaryota; Viridiplantae; Streptophyta; Magnoliopsida; Zingiberales; Zingiberaceae
Gene name: transcription factor HHO3-like
Exons: 3
Source: RefSeq, a predicted model, not a curated record